GGCUUCUUUACAGAGAGGGAGGGACCAGGUUCCCAGUGUGAGUGAUGUUUAAAGAUUUUCUGAGAAGCACAAGGACUGGACUUUGACAGGAAGCAACGAGGCAAGAGGGAAGCUCGAGAACAGGUUUUGCUGAUGAUUCCCCCCAAGAAAAGUGCUCCCCGGGAGGCCGUUCCUGGCACCAAGACUGGCGGAGCCACCACACCCGUUAAAGGGAUCCACCUGGACAGCGAUCAGGCAGACAGAGUUUCACCGUGUUGGCCAGGCUGGUCUCGAACUCCUGACCUCAAGUGAUCUGCCUGCCCUGGCUUCCCAAAGUGCUGGGAUUACAGGCGUGAGCCACCGCGCCCGGCCAAAUGUUUAGAAGCACAACUUCUAAUGUUCAGGUGUGUUGCUGGUGUCCUGCAGACAUUAAUCACUACCCAAGAAGACUUGUUAAAAUUUUGCCCUUGAACAUGGGAAGCUGAAGAUGAGGCUCUGGAUUUACGAUAGCCCUAAACCCAGGAUGAGCCUAAAGAGAAGACCUUAAAUCAUAAACAGCUUUGUCACCAAUCAUCUUUCUAUCCUACUCUAACUCCAACCCCCCUCCCCAACCCAUCCUUAAAGGAAAUCAAAACCACUUUUAUUUUUCUUAUUUUCUAGCUUUUAGAGGCAACUGUCAUAUCAACGCUUCAUGAACACUGUGUGUCUGUGACGUCAGCAUCUAGAAAGUUGAGAAAUGUGAGGUGACUGAAACUAUGAAAAAAAAAACUGAGGAACUCUCUGAAUACACAAAGAGCCAGUUUAUUUGCAUGAGACUUUGAGAGAUGGGCUUUCCAUAUAGAUGGUGCUAAACUGUAUUUUAAAAUCUUACUACAAUUCUCAUGGUAAUCUG
Long non-coding RNA from Pongo pygmaeus (Bornean orangutan), 871 nucleotides. RefSeq lists it as uncharacterized. The record is from RefSeq and is a predicted model, not a curated record. Lineage: Eukaryota; Metazoa; Chordata; Mammalia; Primates; Hominidae. The transcript has 3 exons.